Long non-coding RNA from Stegodyphus dumicola, 687 nucleotides. The record is from RefSeq and is a predicted model, not a curated record. NCBI's taxonomy places the organism in Eukaryota, Metazoa, Arthropoda, Arachnida, Araneae, Eresidae.
AAGGGGCCGGUCGAACCAGCCAUCCUCUCAUCACACCGUUCAUUCGGUGACCGGUUACGGUCGCAGUGAGUCGCGUAAGCGGUCUGCUUCGAAUCGAAAAGUGAACUGAAACAAAAUCGCGCAUGGUCCUUAGACGAAUCUUAUAAAAAAAGAAGUUUCAUUUUUUAUUUUUAUUUUUUAUUUUUUUAACCCUCUACCGCUUCACAUCUUGUUCGAGUUUGGAAAGGUGGUGUUCUUUUUCAUUUUUCAAUCCCAUAUUUUGCGUCGUGUGCUUGCUUAGUCGUAGACACUGAAGAGGAUAUAUAUAUAUUGUUUGUUUGUAUCGACAUUAAACAUUGUUGAUUUUUUUCAUCUCUCGUGAUCAUGCUGAAGCUGGAAAUGAACAUGAGGAUACUGACAUUGCUUGUCAUUGGAAUAAUUGCUGUCACCGCAUCUACUGAUGGAAAUCAAAAACUGAAGCCAUCAUCUGUUUCAGGUAAGAAAUUUGUUUCAUCCUGGGAUCGAGGAUAUGAGAAAGCUGAGCCAUAUUUCUUUUAAGAGUAUUGAAUAACUUCAACCAAGUAUUAUAGCUAAUACAUUUUAUAAUAUGCCUGAGGUUUAUCGAUCAUUAUUCCGUUAAAAAAUUGUAUUAUUUUAUUGACAAAAGUUUAAGUAAUACUGAGAGAAAUUUAUAAAAUUAAAACUUUU